GCAGGUUUCAUGAAGGAGAGCAUUAGAGUAAGUAUUGAAGGGAAGAACACAGUGAGAGCAGGUGGAGAACUUUUUAUAGGAAGCAACACAUGGUGUCGCUUCCAAGAAGAUUUUCAAGCACCUGAUGAUUGUAACAUCAAAAGGAUCGAUGUCAAAUUUGAGGAUGGAAUACUCACUAUCACUGUGCCACGAAAAAGGCCCAGGCAAUUAUUAGAUGAACAAACAGAACAAUUUCCUCACAGAAUCCCUCACAAGG
Molecule: unclassified non-coding RNA, 256 nt
Filed under: Hevea brasiliensis (rubber tree)
Lineage: Eukaryota; Viridiplantae; Streptophyta; Magnoliopsida; Malpighiales; Euphorbiaceae
Source: RNAcentral